UGCUCCGCUCCGGGUUUUCCUGGAGACCCGGAGCCAGAGAGGGUCGAAACCUGCGGGCCGGGCGCUCCCUGUCCCCCUACUCAGGCUGGGACUCGAGGAGCGUCCGGCCCUCCGAGGAAGCCUGACUCUAAUGGAGCUUGGGGUAAAGAUGAAGCAGAGGAGAGGCGGCCUGAGGGGAGCAGAACAACUUUGAUUUUUACUUAACUCGCUCUCGUCUCGCUCCCCUUCCCCAAAACAACUUUCUCUUCCGGGGUCAGGCAGGACCGCCCCCGACGCGUACCUUGCGCGCCGUGGGCGCCCGGAGCUACGAGAUUCGGUGUGAUUUUUGAGGUUCCCCGGCUGCCAGCAGCCCCAGAAAUGAGCGGGCUGCCCUCAGCCCCGCACCGCGCCGGGGCCCCGACCGUGCCCUCUGGUCCGCGGGCACCGCCUGCAGGCUGUGUGACCUGGGCGCACACCUUCUGGAUGUUUGUUUAUUGUUUAUACACUAAUAGGAGGUCCCUCUCCCCAUACCGUCAAAAGUAGAGGAGUCAGAAUCUGUAAGAUUCUCAUGGGCAUGGUUGCACCCCAUCAGGAGUCCAAACGCAAAAACGAGGUAGCAAAGCCAUUCUGACCGGUGUGAGGUGGUAUCUCCUUGUAGUUUUGAUUUGCAUUUCCCUGAUGCCUACAGCCCGCAGUCUGCCUGAGACCAAGCACCAUGCCUUCAAUUAAGUUGCAGAGUUCCGAUGGAGAGAUAUUUGAGGUUGAUGUUGAAAUUGCCAAACAGUCUGUAACUAUCAAGACCAGGUUGGAAGAUUUGGGAAUGGAUGAUGGAGAUGAUGACCCAGUUCCUCUACCAAAUGUUAAUGCAGCAAUAUUAAAAAAGGUCAUUCAGUGGUGCACCCACCGCAAGGAUGACCCCCCCUCCUUCUGAGGAUGAUGAGAACAAAGAAAAACGGACAGAUGAUAUCCCUUUGGGACCAAGAAUUCCUGAAAGUUGACCAAGGAACACUUUUUGAACUUAUUCUGGCUGCGAACUACUUAGACAUCAAAGGUUUGCUUGAUGUUACAUGCAAGACUGUUGCCAAUAUGAUCAAGGGGAAAACUGAGGAGAUCCGCAAGACCUUCAAUAUCAAAAAUGACUUUACUGAAGAAGAGGAAGCCCAGGUACGCAAAGAGAACCGGUGGUGUGAAGAGAAGUGAAACGUUAUGCCUGACACUGUAACACUGUAAGGAUUGUUCCAAAUACUAGUUGCACUGCUCUGUUUAUAAUUGUUAAUAUUAGACAAACAGUAGACAAAUGGCAGCAGCCAAUCAGUUGUUUAAGCAGAAUAUUGUCCUCCUUGCAUGUGUAGUUUGAGUACGGAUUCCAAACUUAUGGCUGAGUUUCUUCUAGUAUGAUCAAAAGUUUCUUUUUUCUUUGCUCUAAAUAAACCUGAACUGUGGGUUCUCUGUAGAAGGUGGCAUUUAGGGCUUUCCGAAACUCUCUUUGUAAAGCGAUUUCUGCCUAGUUUCUUGUCUAGUUAACUUUAGUUUAAUGACCUUUUAAAAGUUGGCAUUGUAAAUAAAACAAGUUGAAAAAAAAUUUCUGAAAUAGAAUUAACAACAUAUUCUCUUUAUUCAUGAGUUGGAAACUGGAAAAAGGCUACCUGAGGUAAAUGUUUCAAGUGGGGUUAUUAGGAUGUCUUCCAGCUUCCUGGAGUCAAGGAGUACCACUGGUAUUGAUUAGCCUGUAUGUAGCAGGGCUCCCUUAAUUGGAUGUAAGGACUUGUUAUUGCAUUUUUAAUCCUCAGCUUUGAAUAUGUUGGCUAGAGACUCAGUUACUACUCAGUUUGUGGUUUUGGGGGGAAUAUAACUAGCCAGUCUGUUAGCUUUUAGAUUUAAAAAGACAAAUAACCCAUGUGGUUAUGUCAUCUUCUUAUAAUUAUUGAUCCCAUGUGGGGGAAACUUCACACUACUUGCAUGUAAAAAAUAAUUUAACCUUUAACGUUAAAAUGUCUGGCAAAACCUAGAAAACAUCCAUCAUGAAUGCAAGAUACUUUCAGUGAAAAGUUACGUAGUAGGUGGUAAAUGGUUUGCU
This is an RNA transcript of Zalophus californianus (California sea lion), 2056 nucleotides long. It is a transcript of the gene named S-phase kinase-associated protein 1-like, with no coding region annotated. NCBI's taxonomy places the organism in Eukaryota, Metazoa, Chordata, Mammalia, Carnivora, Otariidae. The record is from RefSeq and is a predicted model, not a curated record. The transcript has 3 exons.